RNAcentral lists this long non-coding RNA (446 nucleotides) under Nicotiana benthamiana. RNAcentral describes it as "long non-coding RNA (NBEN_LNC015115)". The record is from RNAcentral. Lineage: Eukaryota; Viridiplantae; Streptophyta; Magnoliopsida; Solanales; Solanaceae.
CGACACCUGGUCGCUGAUGAAAGCCUUUCGCAACAAGUCGGCCUUUGAACUUAUCCACAUUACCGUCAGGCUUUCGUUUGAUACGAUAAACCCACUUGCAGCCCACAACAUUCUGUGAAGAAUCAGGUGGAACAAGUUUCCACAGUACCGUCAGGCUUUCGUUUGAUACGAUAAACCCACUUGCAGCCCACAACAUUCUGUGAAGAAUAAGGUGGAACAAGAUCCCAGGUGCCAUUCCGUAGCAGAGCAUCAAACUCCAAUGACAUAGCAGCGCGCCAGCGCUCAUCGGACAUAGCACUAGACAAAGUCUGAGGUUCUGUAACAGCUGGAGAGGAUACAGCAGACAUACCAAACUUCUUGUUGGGCGUAAAGAUGUUAUUUUUGGUGCGAGUUUGCAUGUGAUGACCACCCUGAGAGGAUGAAGGUGGCCGCAUAGUGGGUGUAGC